This 491-nucleotide ribosomal RNA is filed under the name uncultured bacterium. Its description in RNAcentral is "partial 16S ribosomal RNA". It matches the Rfam family "Bacterial small subunit ribosomal RNA", at positions 29 to 507 of the family's 1533-position model. The record is from RNAcentral.
AGUGAACGCUGGCGGUAGGCCUAACACAUGCCAGUCGAACGGCAGCACAGUAAGAGCUUGCUCUUACGGGUGGCGAGUGGCGGACGGGUGAGGAAUACAUCGGAAUCUACUUUUUCGUGGGGGAUAACGUAGGGAAACUUACGCUAAUACCGCAUACGACCUACGGGUGAAAGCAGGGGAUCUUCGGACCUUGCGCGAUUGAAUGAGCCGAUGUCGGAUUAGCUAGUUGGCGGGGUAAAGGCCCACCAAGGCGACGAUCCGUAGCUGGUCUGAGAGGAUGAUCAGCCACACUGGAACUGAGACACGGUCCAGACUCCGACGGGAGGCAGCGGUGGCGAAGAUUGGACAAUGGGCGCAAGCCUGAUCCAGCCAUACCGCGUGGGUGAAGAAGGCCUUCGUGUUGUAAAGCCCUUUUGUUGGGAAAGAAAAGCAGCAGGUUAAUACCCCGCUGUUCUGACGGUACCCAAAGAAUAAGCACCGGCUACUUCGUG